This 545-nucleotide ribosomal RNA is filed under the name uncultured bacterium. RNAcentral describes it as "partial 16S ribosomal RNA". It matches the Rfam family "Bacterial small subunit ribosomal RNA", at positions 356 to 914 of the family's 1533-position model. The record is from RNAcentral.
GGGGAAUAUUGCACAAUGGGCGAAAGCCUGAUGCAGCAACGCCGCGUGAGUGAUGAAGGUCUUCGGAUUGUAAAGCUCUGUCUUUUGGGACGAUAAUGACGGUACCAAAGGAGGAAGCCACGGCUAACUACGUGCCAGCAGCCGCGGUAAUACGUAGGUGGCGAGCGUUGUCCGGAUUUACUGGGCGUAAAGGGUGCGUAGGCGGAUGUUUAAGUGAGAUGUGAAAUACCCGGGCUUAACUUGGGUGCUGCAUUUCAAACUGGAUAUCUAGAGUGCAGGAGAGGAGAAUGGAAUUCCUAGUGUAGCGGUGAAAUGCGUAGAGAUUAGGAAGAACACCAGUGGCGAAGGCGAUUCUCUGGACUGUAACUGACGCUGAGGCACGAAAGCGUGGGUAGCAAACAGGAUUAGAUACCCUGGUAGUCCACGCCGUAAAACGAUGAGUACUAGGUGUAGGAGGUAUCGACCCCUUCUGUGCCGCAGUAAACACAUUAAGUACUCCGCCUGGGAAGUACGAUCGCAAGAUUAAAACUCUAAAGUGAAUUGAC